This 299-nucleotide unclassified non-coding RNA is filed under the name Hevea brasiliensis (rubber tree). Lineage: Eukaryota; Viridiplantae; Streptophyta; Magnoliopsida; Malpighiales; Euphorbiaceae. The record is from RNAcentral.
AGAGCGUAUGAAUGCAAUUGAUUCUGAUUAUAAUACGGCUGUUCCAAUGGAGAUUUCUGACUGGGAGAAAGAUUCAUCUUCUGUGACCGACUCCAAAGCUGUCACAAUGGAAGAUUCAGCCAAUGCAGAUCUAGUUAAUUCUGAAUAAAUAUCAGAUAUUGUGAAAGAUAUCAAAGUUAACGGCACUAUAUAUUCCUUUUCAGGAAUGGCAGCUUCAACCAAACCUCACAACUUGAGACGCGAAUCCCCCUUGAAUGGUUGGGAUGAUGAUAAUAGGAACAAUGGAGCCAAGAGAGCAG